This 449-nucleotide ribosomal RNA is filed under the name uncultured bacterium. RNAcentral's name for it is "bacterial SSU rRNA". It matches the Rfam family "Bacterial small subunit ribosomal RNA", at positions 540 to 989 of the family's 1533-position model. The record is from RNAcentral.
GUUAUCCGGAUUCACUGGGUUUAAAGGGAGCGUAGGUGGGUUGGUAAGUCAGUGGUGAAAUCUCCGAGCUUAACUUGGAAACUGCCAUUGAUACUAUCGAUCUUGAAUACUGUGGAGGUAAGCGGAAUAUAUCAUGUAGCGGUGAAAUGCUUAGAUAUGAUAUAGAACACCAAUAGCGAAGGCAGCUUACUACGCAGUUAUUGACACUGAGGCUCGAAAGCGUGGGGAUCAAACAGGAUUAGAUACCCUGGUAGUCCACGCCCUAAACUAUGGAUACUCGACAUCAGCGAUACACUGUUGGUGUCUGAGCGAAAGCAUUAAGUAUCCCACCUGGGAAGUACGUCCGCAAGGAUGAAACUCAAAGGAAUUGGCCGGGGGGUCCGCACAAGCGGUGGAGCAUGUGGUUUAAUUCGACGAUACGCGAGGAACCUUACCUGGGCUAGAAUGCA